RNAcentral lists this long non-coding RNA (858 nucleotides) under Homo sapiens (human). RNAcentral's name for it is "HSALNT0259337". The record is from RNAcentral. Lineage: Eukaryota; Metazoa; Chordata; Mammalia; Primates; Hominidae.
CUUAAUUAUUAGGUGGUAGUUACACAGGGGCUAUUGUUUCUGUGUAUUAUUUGUAUUUAGUAAAGGUUUAAAGGCAUAAAAUAGAAGAAAAUUUGGAAAAAUAUUUGGGGUGAAUGAGACAAUUCAGGAACAAAUACAGAAAACUAUAUUAUCAUAUAGCAAAAAGCUAUUUAAAAUAGAGAUAAGCAAACUAUAGCUCACAGGCCAAAUGUGGCCUUCUGAUUAUUUUUUGUAAAUAAAGUUUUAUUGGAACACAACAAUGUCCAUUUGCUUAUAGGUAGAAUUUCUCAACCUCAGAACUACUGACAUUCUGGAUGAGACUUUUUUUGGGGGGUGGGGGCAGUUGUACUAUGCAUUGUAGGACGCUUAGCAGGAUCCCUGGCCUCUGCUCACCAGACGCCAGCAGCACCCACCCUUCAUACUGAAAACCAAAAAUGACUCUGGACAUUGCCAAAUGCCUACUGGGGUGUAGGUAUGAGAAACGAAAUGGCCCCUGUUUGAGAACACCUGGCUUAUGUAUUAAGCGCUUCCACACUACAAAGACAGAGUAGAGACUGUAUGGCUUACAAAGCCUUGCAUGUUUACUAUCUGGCUCUUCACAGAAAAAUAUGUUAACUCUGUUUGCCAUAAACGAUGGCAAAAGAUGCAGGCUAAACUGCAGAGCAUAUGACAAUACAAUCUCCUUAGCAAAGUUUCCACAGAUUGCUUUAAAAACUACUCCAAUGUAAACAAAAGGAAGAGAUAAAAAUAAGCAAUCCACAGAAACAGAACUCGAAUGACCCUUAGACAUGGUAGAUGCUCAAUCUCACUGGCAGUUAAGAAAAUGCAGGCACGUGCUAUCUCGCCUGGCUAGUUUUU